GGUCCGUUGGUCAAGGGGUGAAGACACCGCCUUUUCACGGCGGUAACACGGGUUCGAAUCCCGUACGGACUA
This 72-nucleotide transfer RNA is filed under the name Streptococcus pneumoniae. RNAcentral describes it as "tRNA-Glu(ttc)". It matches the Rfam family "tRNA". From Rfam's summary of the family: Transfer RNA (tRNA) molecules are approximately 80 nucleotides in length. Their secondary structure includes four short double-helical elements and three loops (D, anti-codon, and T loops). Further hydrogen bonds mediate the characteristic L-shaped molecular structure. tRNAs have two regions of fundamental functional importance: the anti-codon, which is responsible for specific mRNA codon recognition, and the 3' end, to which the tRNAs corresponding amino acid is attached (by aminoacyl-tRNA synthetases). tRNAs cope with the degeneracy of the genetic code in two manners: having more than one tRNA (with a specific anti-codon) for a particular amino acid; and 'wobble' base-pairing, i.e. permitting non-standard base-pairing at the 3rd anti-codon position. Lineage: Bacteria; Bacillati; Bacillota; Bacilli; Lactobacillales; Streptococcaceae. The record is from RNAcentral.